UACGUAGGGGGCAAGCGUUGUCCGGAAUCAUUGGGCGUAAAGCGCGUGUAGGCGGUCCGGUAAGUCGGCUGUGAAAGCCCAGGGCUCAACCCUGGGAUGCCGGUCGAUACUGCCGGACUAGAGUUCGGAAGAGGCGAGUGGAAUUCCCGGUGUAGCGGUGAAAUGCGCAGAUAUCGGGAGGAACACCAAUGGCGAAGGCAGCUCGCUGGGACGUUACUGACGCUGAGACGCGAAAGCGUGGGGAGCAAACAGG
This 253-nucleotide ribosomal RNA is filed under the name uncultured bacterium. RNAcentral describes it as "partial 16S ribosomal RNA". It matches the Rfam family "Bacterial small subunit ribosomal RNA", at positions 524 to 776 of the family's 1533-position model. The record is from RNAcentral.